This 117-nucleotide ribosomal RNA is filed under the name Otolemur garnettii (small-eared galago). The record is from RNAcentral. Lineage: Eukaryota; Metazoa; Chordata; Mammalia; Primates; Galagidae.
CAGUUCAGUUCAAGAAAUAUGUAUGCCUGAUCUUGUCUGAUCUCGGAAGGUAAGCAGGGUCGGGCAUGAUCAGUAAUUGGAUGGGAGACCAUCUACAAAUGCCAGGUACUAUAUAUU